RNAcentral lists this ribosomal RNA (549 nucleotides) under uncultured bacterium. RNAcentral describes it as "partial 16S ribosomal RNA". It matches the Rfam family "Bacterial small subunit ribosomal RNA", at positions 355 to 895 of the family's 1533-position model. The record is from RNAcentral.
UGGGGAAUUUUGGACAAUGGGGGCAACCCGUGAUCCAGCAAUGCCGCGUGUGUGAAGAAGGCCUUCGGGUUGUAAAGCACUUUUGUCCGGAAAGAAAACGUCGUGGUUAAUACCCGUGGCGGCUGACGGUACCGGAAGAAUAAGCACCGGCUAACUACGUGCCAGCAGCCGCGGUAAUACGUAGGGUGCAAGCGUUAAUCGGAAUUACUGGGCGUAAAGCGUGCGCAGGCGGUCCGCUAAGACAGAUGUGAAAUCCCCGGGCUUAACCUGGGAACUGCAUUUGUGACUGGCGGGCUAGAGUAUGGCAGAGGGGGGUAGAAUUCCACGUGUAGCAGUGAAAUGCGUAGAGAUGUGGAGGAAUACCGAUGGCGAAGGCAGCCCCCUGGGCCAAUACUGACGCUCAUGCACGAAAGCGUGGGGGAGCAAACAGGAUUAGAUACCCUGGUAGUCCACGCCCUAAACGAUGUCAACUAGUUGUCGGGUCUUCAUUGACUUGGUAACGUAGCUAACGCGUGAAGUUGACCGCCUGGGGAGUACGGUCGCAAGAUU